AACGGUCCUACGGGGUGCAGCAGUCGCGAAAACUCCGCAAUGCACGAAAGUGUGACGGGGCUAUCCCGAGUGCCGUCCGCUGAGGAUGGCUUUUCCUUGGUGUAACUAGCCGGGGGAAUAAGGAGAGGGCAAGACUGGUGUCAGCCGCCGCGGUAAUACCAGCUCUCCGAGUGGUAGGGAUGAUUAUUGGGCUUAAAGCGUCCGUAGCCGGCUUAGCAAGUUUCCUGUUAAAUUCAGCGACUUAAUCGUUGAACCGCGGGAAAUACUACUAGGCUAGGAGGCGGGAGAGGUCGACGGUACUUCUGGGGUAGGGGUGAAAUCCUAUAAUCCCGGGAGGACCACCAGUGGCGAAGGCUGUCGACUAGAACGCGCCCGACGUGAGAUGAGUCACCUGGGGGAGCGAACCGGAUUAGAUACCCGCGUAGUCCAAA
This 431-nucleotide ribosomal RNA is filed under the name uncultured archaeon. RNAcentral's name for it is "bacterial SSU rRNA". It matches the Rfam family "Archaeal small subunit ribosomal RNA", at positions 316 to 750 of the family's 1478-position model. The record is from RNAcentral.